CCUACGGGGGGCAGCAGUGGGGAAUAUUGCGCAAUGGGCGAAAGCCUGACGCAGCGACGCCGCGUGAGGGAUGAAGGUCUUCGGAUCGUAAACCUCUGUCAGCAGGGAAGAACGGUCACUGUGCUAAUCAGCAGUGAAUUGACGGUAACUGCAAAGGAAGCACCGGCUAACUCCGUGCCAGCAGCCGCGGUAAUACGGAGGGUGCGAGCGUUAAUCGGAAUUACUGGGCAUAAAGCGCACGUAGGCGGUAUGUCAAGACAAGGGUGAAAUUCGCGGGCUCACCGUGGGAACUGACUUUGAAACUGGCAAACUCGAGUGUGUGAGAGGAAUGUGGAAUUCCAGGUGUAGGGGUGAAAUCCGUAGAUAUCUGGAGGAACAUCAGUUGCGAAGGCGACUAUCUGGCAC
Molecule: ribosomal RNA, 405 nt
Filed under: uncultured bacterium
Lineage: Bacteria
Description: partial 16S ribosomal RNA
Rfam family: Bacterial small subunit ribosomal RNA
Source: RNAcentral